GCUCAGUUGGUAGAGUAUAAAGCUCUUAACCUUGUGGACGUGGGUUCGAGCCCCAU
RNAcentral lists this transfer RNA (56 nucleotides) under Triticum urartu. It matches the Rfam family "tRNA", at positions 10 to 63 of the family's 71-position model. From Rfam's summary of the family: Transfer RNA (tRNA) molecules are approximately 80 nucleotides in length. The record is from Rfam by way of RNAcentral. Lineage: Eukaryota; Viridiplantae; Streptophyta; Magnoliopsida; Poales; Poaceae.